GAUGAACGCUAGCGGGAGGCUUAAUACAUGCAAGUCGAGCGGUAAGGUUUCUUCGGAAAUACACGAGCGGCGGACGGGUGAGUAACGCGUACGCAAUUUACCUCUAUCAGGAAGAUAGCCCCGGGAAACUGGGAUUAAUACUCCAUAACAUCAUACGAAGGCAUCUGAGAAUGAUUAAAGCUCCGGCGGAUAGAGAUAAGCGUGCGUCCCAUUAGUUAGUUGGUGAGGUAACGGCUCACCAAGACGUCGAUGGGUAGCUGGUCUGAGAGGAUGAUCAGCCACACUGGGACUGAGACACGGCCCAGACUCCUACGGGAGGCAGCAGUAGGGAAUAUUGGACAAUGGGGGAAACCCUGAUCCAGCCAUCCCGCGUGCAGGAAUAAGGCCCUACGGGUUGUAAACUGCUUUUCUCUGGAAAGAAACCUUAGGAUUUAUCUUAAGCUGACGGUACCAGAGGAAUAAGCACCGGCUAACUCCG
RNAcentral lists this ribosomal RNA (478 nucleotides) under uncultured Bacteroidota bacterium. RNAcentral describes it as "bacterial SSU rRNA". It matches the Rfam family "Bacterial small subunit ribosomal RNA", at positions 28 to 505 of the family's 1533-position model. Lineage: Bacteria; Pseudomonadati; Bacteroidota. The record is from RNAcentral.